This 382-nucleotide unclassified non-coding RNA is filed under the name uncultured Gammaproteobacteria bacterium. RNAcentral describes it as "contains 16S-23S intergenic spacer region". Lineage: Bacteria; Pseudomonadati; Pseudomonadota; Gammaproteobacteria. The record is from RNAcentral.
UCCGAGUUAUCCCCGGCAGUCUCCUAUGAGUCCCCGGCCGAACCGCUGGCAACAUAGGACAAGGGUUGCGCUCGUUGCGGGGCUUAACCCAACAUCUCACGACACGAGCUGACGACAGCCAUGCAGCACCUGUGUCCAGGCUCCCUUUCGGGCACCCCUCCAUCUCUGGAGGGUUCCUGGCAUGUCAAGGGUAGGUAAGGUUUUUCGCGUUGCAUCGAAUUAAUCCACAUAAUCCACCGCUUGUGCGGGUCCCCGUCAAUUCCUUUGAGUUUUAACCUUGCGGCCGUACUCCCCAGGCGGUCAACUUCACGCGUUAGCUUCGGCACGGAGAGGGUUGAAGACCUCCCCACACCUAGCACCCAACGUUCACGGCUGGGACUAC